RNAcentral lists this long non-coding RNA (2244 nucleotides) under Homo sapiens (human). Its description in RNAcentral is "HSALNT0381499". Lineage: Eukaryota; Metazoa; Chordata; Mammalia; Primates; Hominidae. The record is from RNAcentral.
AGUCUAAUGCUUCUUCCACAGUAUCAGAUGGUGUGGGCUGCAGGUCUCUGCAGGUGAGGGCUUCUGGCUCAGCUGCUGGGGAGUAAGCACCAAGUAGGCACUUGGGCCAGAAAAACCAGGGUUGCUAAGGAAAUCAGAUGAAGGGAGGACAUUCAGAUGAAGAAACAGAUCAUUUCCAAGCAAGAACUAGCAAGAACUCCAGAUUCCUUAUGUGCAUUCAGAUGGUCUUUUUUGAAAGGUAUUUGGGCUUGAAAAGCACAUGUACUUUAUCAGCUGUGUACCUCUGCUAUUGUACAAGGAAAGCCUCAUUCUCUUCUGUCCGGAUACCAUCCUUCAACACCCUACUCAAAUGCCGCCUCCUCCAAGAAGCCUUCUUCCCUCCACUUGGAAGUAAAAUCUGCUUCUCUACUCAUUCCUCUCUCAUGGUCCUCAUCUCAUGCCAUGUUCUGUUCUAGCUGAUAACAUUUACAUAUGUGACUCAGUGGUAUACCUCAUGUAUUUGACACACAGAACGGAUCAUUUUAAUGACCCUCUGCUCUAUAAGACAAAAGUAUUUUCAGUCAUAUUUAUGUAAAAAUCAGCAAUCAUCACUACUUUCUCGAUUUCUUCUUUAGUUAUAAAGCAGUGAACAAUUUUUAAAAAGACAAAUACAUUUUAACUUUAAGAUAUUCAAAUGCAGUAAAAAUAUUUUUCGUAUGAGUCCAAAUUUUUACCUAUCAAACAAGAUGUUACAACUCAUUGUUCACAAUCUGUUUUGUUGCUUUAAAUUUUAAACACAUAUGAGAAGCUUACAGGGGUCACCUAGGAUGAGAGAAUUGAAAUAAUUCAAGUUCUGGUUUUUUGUUUGUACAACCACUACGCUAUCAUUUUUUGUUUCAAAUCUACUGUUUACAUGCAGAAGCAGGUAAUAAGUGCCACUGAGGUUGGAGACAUAAGGACGUCAAAGGAUCUGAACCAUCGCACACUUACUCUUGCAACAAGAACACGCCCCUGAGUCUGUGCAUGUUGGGGCCAAGUGCAUAACCGGGAGUUCUCCAGAUUAAUGUCAAUGUAGAACACAAUAUUUAUGAAAGGAUAAAUAAUAAAGAUGUGAUGAAUUUGAAGCUUACAUAUACUUACUACAUAAAAUCCAACAGUAACCACGGAGAUUGUUUAGAACUUAGGCCAUAAAACCAUUUUUUUCUGGAAAGAGCUUUGCCUUUAUCGCUGAUACUCUUUCUUUUGGGAUGGAGUUUCACUUUGUUGCCCAGGAUGGAGUGCGACGGCGCCAUCUCGGCUCAUUGCAACCUCUGCCUCCCGGGUUCAAGCAAUUCUCCUGCCUCAGCGUACCAAGUAGCUGGGAUUACAGGUGCCCAUGACCAAGCCUGGCUAAUGUUUUGUAUUUUUAGUAGAGAUGGCAUUUUACCAUGUUGGCCAGGCUGGUUUUGAACUCCUAACCUCAGGUGAUCCACCCACCUCGGCCUCCCAAAGUGCUGGGAUUACAGGCGUGAGCCACGGCGCCCGGCUGACAUUCUUUAUAAUUGUGAUAAUGACAGGCAGAUCAGCUUUUGGUUAUAUUUGUAUUUAAAUUCUCCACAGACGGUUGCUCUUUUAUUGAUGGCACAUCCCCCCUCCACCCAGUCCCAUGGCCCCCUAUUCCCUCCCCACCCCACUCCCACCCCAUUUGACUGUAAAUUCCUGCAAGGUGGGGACGGCUGUGCAGCCCCCUGUUGUACAGUGCCCACUGCACAAGCGCAGUGGUUUGCAGGCCAAGGCCCCAGGGAGAUCGCCUUAGGAUGUCCUCCCUUUUCCUCUAUGGGAGGCCAGAUUUUCUUCCUACAUUUCAAACAAAGCAAUACAUCACAACAGACUGAGUACAGAAACAGGUAAGAUAAUCCAGCUGUCUUGGGAAGCCAGAUAUUAGAGAGAUUUGCAACAUUUCUUUGUAAAACAAUGUCACUCUUCUCCAUUUAAAACUUAUUUGGAAAAUACAAGUUAUUUUUCAUAAAAUUACAUUAUAUGUGUUAAUAUGCAAGGGUUUAUUAUCAUUUUAAAAAGUGUUAGCAGAUUUUAAAGAUUUCUCAGUUUUAAUUUCUAAUGAAGGAAAUAUUGAUAUCUCACAUAAUAAACACUGUUUGGGGUCCUCAGUGAUUUUUAAGAGAGGAAACGUGUGAACAGAGUGUGUGAGUUGUACUCAGGCACUGCGUUACGUAUGGCAGGUGCUCAUGUAUGCUUGUGACACUCAUGAGGGACUGACUGAAUAGG